Molecule: ribosomal RNA, 492 nt
Filed under: uncultured bacterium
Lineage: Bacteria
Description: partial 16S ribosomal RNA
Rfam family: Bacterial small subunit ribosomal RNA
Source: RNAcentral
AGUGAACGCUGGCGGUAGGCCUAACACAUGCAAGUCGAACGGCAGCACAGUAAGAGCUGGCUCUUACGGGUGGCGAGUGGCGGACUGGUGAGGAAUACAUCGGAAUCUACUUUUUCGUGGGGGAUAACGUAGGGAAACUUACGCUAAUACCGCAUACGACCUACGGGUGAAAGCAGGGGAUCUUCGGACCUUGCGCUAUUGAAUGAGCCGAUGUCGGAUUAGCUAGUUGGCGGGGUCAAGGCCCACCAAGGCGGCGAUCCGUAGCUGGUCUGAGAGGAUGAUCAGGCACACUGGCAGUGAGACACGGUCCAGACUUCUAAGGGAGGCAGCAGUGGGGAAUAUUAGAGAAUGGGGGCAAGCCUGAUCCAGCCAUACCGCGUGGGUGAAGAAGGCCUUCGGGUUGUAAAGCCAUUUUGUUGGGAAAGAAAAGCAGCAGGUUAAUACCCCGCUGUUCUGACGGUACCCAAAGAAUAAGCACCGGCUAACUUCGUG